ACUCAUAACAAUUAGAUAGACGUCAGUUUUAUAUUGUAGUUAAUGAU
Molecule: non-coding RNA, 47 nt
Filed under: Trypanosoma brucei brucei
Lineage: Eukaryota; Euglenozoa; Kinetoplastea; Trypanosomatida; Trypanosomatidae
Source: RNAcentral